CAAAGAAUUGAGCAGGACACACAGCAGGAGAAAUGAAAGCAUAAAAGAUCUGUAUACUUCUCAGGGUGGGAGUAGGCCAGGGAGAAGAAAAUGCUCAUGGCACCAAAGAGUCUCUGUGUGGUUUUUACAAGAUGUAUAGCAGAGUGAGCAAGAGAAAAUUCAUGAAGUAAACUCAAUCACACACUGUUUACAAGGAUCAGGUAUCUGGACCAAGGGUGUACUGACUGGAGGUCCAGCAGUUAUUUUGUACCACAUUCCACACUGUAUGAAUACUGAAACAGAAAAUGAAGCGUUCUGGACUCUUGAUGAAAAAAC
Long non-coding RNA from Heterocephalus glaber (naked mole-rat), 315 nucleotides. NCBI's taxonomy places the organism in Eukaryota, Metazoa, Chordata, Mammalia, Rodentia, Bathyergidae. The record is from Ensembl.